AGCCAUUUAGCUAUAAAAGUAAGCCUUUUGAAAGUGCUAGAAAGGAAAUUCCUCGUGGCCU
RNAcentral lists this transfer RNA (61 nucleotides) under Tylos sp. outgroup MM-2013. Its description in RNAcentral is "tRNA-Ser". Lineage: Eukaryota; Metazoa; Arthropoda; Malacostraca; Isopoda; Tylidae. The record is from RNAcentral.